This 84-nucleotide transfer RNA is filed under the name Candidatus Poribacteria bacterium. RNAcentral describes it as "tRNA-Leu". It matches the Rfam family "tRNA". From Rfam's summary of the family: Transfer RNA (tRNA) molecules are approximately 80 nucleotides in length. Their secondary structure includes four short double-helical elements and three loops (D, anti-codon, and T loops). The record is from RNAcentral. Lineage: Bacteria; Candidatus Poribacteria.
GGGCUAGUGGUGGAAUGGCAUACACGAUGGACUUAAAAUCCUUCGCUCUUCACGAGCAUGAGGGUUCAACUCCCUCCUAGCCCA